RNAcentral lists this ribosomal RNA (467 nucleotides) under uncultured bacterium. Its description in RNAcentral is "partial 16S ribosomal RNA". It matches the Rfam family "Bacterial small subunit ribosomal RNA", at positions 28 to 506 of the family's 1533-position model. The record is from RNAcentral.
GACGAACGCUGGCGGCGUGCUUAACACAUGCAAGUCGAACGGAAAGGCCCUGCUUUUGUGGGGUGCUCGAGUGGCGAACGGGUGAGUAACACGUGAGUAACCUGCCCUUGACUUUGGGAUAACUUCAGGAAACUGGGGCUAAUACCGGAUAGGAGCUCCUGCUGCAUGGUGGGGGUUGGAAAGUUUCGGCGGUUGGGGAUGGACUCGCGGCUUAUCAGCUUGUUGGUGGGGUAGUGGCUUACCAAGGCUUUGACGGGUAGCCGGCCUGAGAGGGUGACCGGCCAAAUUGGGACUGGGAUACGGCCCAGGCUCCGACGGGGGGCAGGAGUGGGGAAUAUUGCACAGGGGGCGGAAGCCUGAUGAAGCAACGCCGCGUGCGGGAUGGCGGCCUUGGGGUUGUAACCCGCUUUCGCCUGUGACGAAGCGUGAGGGGCGGUAAUGGGUAAAGAAGCACCGGCUAACUACGU